AUGAUCUGGGAUUAUUCAAGUGGCUGCAAACCUAAUGAGAUGAGUCCAUAAAAAGGAAGGAAGAAGAGCCUGUGAGAAGGGUCUGACCUACCCUUGCUGGUUUUGAAGAUAGUCGAAGGGUCCUCAAACCAACCGGCUCCAAGCAGUGGGAACAGAGAGCUGAGGUAGCACAAACACCCCCAGGAACUCUGCUCAGCCCCCAAGCCAUGAAGAAGUGAGAACUUGCACCAGGAGCAAACACAGCAAAAGGGGUUUGUGAGGGUGCAGGAUUCUCUGCUCCCUAAGUGGCCCUGGUCCCUGGCCUCGGGAAGGAGCACAUCUUUACAAUCUCAAUACACCUUUCCAGCUGGUGGCUGUCUGCUGUCAUAUUAGUAGUACUGAA
This 382-nucleotide long non-coding RNA is filed under the name Homo sapiens (human). RNAcentral's name for it is "LINC02892 transcript 3". Lineage: Eukaryota; Metazoa; Chordata; Mammalia; Primates; Hominidae. The record is from RNAcentral.